ACCCAUCAUCACUAAGGACCCUCUGGUCCAGAAGACAUGUUAGGGACCAAAAGCAGGUAUCCCCGCUAUGUACUAGGCACAGUUCUAAAUAUUUUGCUUAUUUUAACUGAUUUAAUCUUUACAAUUAAACAAAUAGGCACUAAGGUUAUUUUUUAGAUGAGAAAUCCAAUGAGAGAGAUGAAGAAGAUUGGCCAAGGUUAUGCUAAGAAGCCUAGAGCUGGGAUCCCAUCCAGGCAGUGUGAUGCCAGAAAUUGCUCCUAACCCUGAAGCUAUAUGCACAAGACCCUCUCUGAGUUGGGUAUUUUUGUCCAGUUUUUCCAGGGGAGGACACUGAAAUUGAGUUAAGAAAAUGUGGUAGUCACUGGAUUGUUUACAGAUAUUCCAGAUCAUCUUUCCUUCUGUGCAUAAGGAAGUAGCACUUCUCCACAUCCUCGAAGGUUAGGGAUGCCCAUGGGACGGGCUUUGGUCGAUGAAAUGGAAGUGCCAGAGAAGCACUGAGAGCCUGCAUGGAGUUCACCAUGGUCCUGUCUGCUGUGUUGGUGAAACCCUCAUCACAAGGUCGUUAUACAGCAAUAGAAAAAGAAUAAACUAUCUAAUAAACAGUACUAGAACAAUUGGUUAACAGAAGAAAAAGGUAUAAUAAACUGUAGCUGGAUUAGAGAGUUAAAUUUUUCUUAAAAGCCAAAUAGAUGAGCAUUUGCAUGCUCUGAAGAUGAGAGAAAACCUUCCAAGAAUUAAAGCAACUUUUAAAAAUCCACAAGAUAAAGAUAGUGAAGACUUUACACAUCAAGACAUGCCAAACAAAAUAUGAAAAAUAGCAAUUUGGGGAAACAUCUGCAAAACUUAAUAUGACAGAGUAGAAAUGGUCAUACUACAUGAGACAAAGAGUUAAGGCAGAGACUUAAAUAGAAAAAUGGUAAAAUAUAUCAAAUGAUAAUUCACAAGAGAAGAUAUAAAAAUGGUUAAAAUGCUUAAAAGUUUCAGUAGCGAUAAUAAUCACGACGGUUUCUAAGAUGAAAGUUCUCUGACAUUAAGGGUAAUCUCCUCUGACUGAAAAGUUAAGCCUUCAUGAGAUGGUCUGUUGGCUUAUCAUAGCCACAUAAAAUUGAAAUUAAUGGAAAAAAUGGCUGUCUAGGAGUUCCUGUUGUGGCCCAGCUGGUUAAGGACCUUGCUGUCUCUGUGAGGAUGCUGGUUUGAUUCCUGGCCUCACUUAGUAGGUUAAGGAUCAGGCAUUGCUGCAAACUGUGGCAUAGGUUGCAGAUGUGGCUGGGAUCUGACAUUGCUGUGGCUGUGGCAUACAUAGAGCAAAGCUGCAGCUCUAAUUCUGCCCCUAGCCAGGGAACUUCCAUAUGCCACAGGAGCAGCCAUUAAAUUAAUUAAUUAAUUUAAAAAAUAAAAAUAAGUUUAAAAGGCUGUCUUUUAGGAAAUCCUAUUGAGAGUAUAGUUUUUUAAUGUUAAUUUAUGCCAGAAACAAAAGUAAAUGUAAGUGAUGAUGAACAUUAGUUUUUUAGGAUCCAGAAUUUUAAAAUUUAAUGGACCUCCAUGGACCACUGGAUCAGCAGUUAUGAUCUUUUAAAUCACAUAUUUGAAGCAGGUGAAAUUGACUUUAGUUUAGCUUAUUGUAAUUAAAAUUAGCAUGAAUUACCAUGAUGGACUCAGAGUUGGUUAAUCUCUGGCCUUGGGUAGGGGUUCUUCAAUAUAGACGCAAGCCUAAAGCAGAAGCAAUGGAGUGCAAUUGUUUUGAGUUCAUUUUAGGGCCAUAGAUAUACAAUUGAGAGUUCUGAUCCAAAGACUGAUGAGUUAAAAGCCUGUUUCUGCUGUUGCAUGGGUUCAGUCCCUGGCCUGGGAACUUUCACAUGCCACGACUCUCCCAAAAAUAAAGUCUGUUUUCAACUGCAAAUUUCAUUUCUACGAAGCAGAAACUGCCAGAACACAGUGGUGGCAGGGUUUUCCUUCUCCCUUGGUGGGAUGAGGGCUUGGCAAGAGAUGAAGAGUAGAAAGAAUGAGGAAAUAUUAGGAAUAGGGCAAUAAAAUAAGCUUUUUCAAGGAAGUAUUACACUAAAAUCAUUUUCUCCUAUGCUCAAUUCAUAUAGAGAUUAAAUAGGUUAAGUAUUUCCUGCAAUUGGGAAUAAAAUGGUUAUUACUAUCCUUUGUUUACAAAAGCAGUUCCCUUAAUCCAAGAUUAGUGUGAUAUAUUGAUAUUAAAGUGAAAACCACCUUUGCAUUGAUGAAAUUUUAAGUUUUAUAUAAAAAUAAAAAUAACAGAAGAAUAGCUAGUAUGUGAGUAUAUUGGUAUGCAGGUAUAUAUAUGUAAAGAGAGCUAGGAAAUCUAAGAUUAGAUUAGAAAAAUAGAUUGGAUUCCCUAGCUCUAUUUACUGAAAGUGCCAAGAAGCAAAGACCAGAGCAGAAAGUCUAGCGCCCAGGUAUUGGUUCCCACUGAAAGGAGGCUUCUAGGAGGCAUGGCUGAUUCCAGGGCUGGAUCCUAAGGAUACAGGCUACCUGUAGCAUCACACACUUGCACUCCUCUAUUGUUCAAAUCCUACAAAACCACAGUUUCUUCCCCCAUGGUGAUGGGACCACCAUGAGGUUUAUAACAGUCCUCAGGACCUUAAAGAACUUCCACCAAUCUCAAAUUGUCACUUACUUGUCUUCUGUGUUCCUGCAAACAUUUCUUGAAAGGUCAUAUAAAACUUGGAUCUUUGAAUUGUGGUAAACUUCCCUUAUUUGCAACUGAUCCCACAUUUCUACUCCCAUACAUUGUCUGACAUUAAGGGCUAAAAAUUGUGCCAGAACAUGGAAGUCAGAAAGAUCAGCCACAGCAAAUUAAACACAUGACAUUGAAGAAGGCAUUCAGUAGAGUAUGGAUUUUUUUUUUUUUUUUAAACGGAAAGAAAAGAGGGAGUUCCUAUCGUGGUUCAGCAGAAACAAAUCUUGACUAGUAUCUAUCAGGAUGCAGGUUCGAUCCCUGGUCUCGUUCAGUAGUUUAAGGAUCUGGCAUUGCCCUGAGCUGUGGUGUAGGUGACAGACACAGCUCAGAUCCAGUGUUGCUGUGGCGUAGGCCAGCAGCUACAGCUCUGAUUUGACCCCUAGCCUGGGAACUUCCAUAUGCCGUGAGUGCGGCCCU
Molecule: long non-coding RNA, 3124 nt
Filed under: Sus scrofa (pig)
Lineage: Eukaryota; Metazoa; Chordata; Mammalia; Artiodactyla; Suidae
Description: lncRNA (ENSSSCG00065049808.1)
Source: RNAcentral